Molecule: ribosomal RNA, 252 nt
Filed under: uncultured bacterium
Lineage: Bacteria
Description: partial 16S ribosomal RNA
Rfam family: Bacterial small subunit ribosomal RNA
Source: RNAcentral
UACGGAGGAUGCGAGCGUUAUCCGGAUUUAUUGGGUUUAAAGGGUGCGUAGGCGGAUCGUUAAGUCAGUGGUCAAAUUGAGGGUCUCAACCCCUUCCCGCCAUUGAAACUGGCGAUCUUGAGUGGAAGAGAAGUAUGCGGAAUGCGUGGUGUAGCGGUGAAAUGCAUAGAUAUCACGCAGAACCCCGAUUGCGAAGGCAGCAUGCCGGCUUCCUACUGACGCUGAAGCACGAAAGCGUGGGGAUCGAACAGG